UACGGAGGGGGCUAGCGUUGUUCGGAAUUACUGGGCGUAAAGCGCACGUAGGCGGCUGAUUAAGUCAGAGGUGAAAGCCCGGGGCUACAACCCGGAAUAGCCUUUGAGACUGGAUGCUAGAAUCUGGAGAGGCGAGUGGAAUUCCGAGUGUAGAGGUGAAAUUCGUAGAUAUUGGAAGAACACCAGUGGCGAAGGCGGCUCGCUGGACAAGUAUUGGACGCUGA
RNAcentral lists this ribosomal RNA (224 nucleotides) under uncultured bacterium. RNAcentral's name for it is "partial 16S ribosomal RNA". It matches the Rfam family "Bacterial small subunit ribosomal RNA", at positions 524 to 749 of the family's 1533-position model. The record is from RNAcentral.